RNAcentral lists this ribosomal RNA (495 nucleotides) under uncultured bacterium. RNAcentral's name for it is "partial 16S ribosomal RNA". It matches the Rfam family "Bacterial small subunit ribosomal RNA", at positions 28 to 507 of the family's 1533-position model. The record is from RNAcentral.
GACGAACGCUGGCGGCGUGCCUAAUACAUGCAAGUAGGACGCUGAAGGAGGAGCUUGCUUCUCUGGAUGAGUUGCGAACGGGUGAGUAACGCGUAGGUAACCUGCCUGGUAGCGGGGGAUAACUAUUGGAAACGAUAGCUAAUACCGCAUAAUAGUAGAUGUUGCAUGACAUUUGCUUAAAAGGUGCAAUUGCAUCACUACCAGAUGGACCUGCGUUGUAUUAGCUAGUUGGUGGGGUAACGGCUCACCAAGGCGACGAUACAUAGCCGACCUGAGAGGGGGAUCGGCCACACUGGGACUGAGACACGGCCCAGACUCCUACGGGAGGCAGCAGUAGGGAAUCUUCGGCAAUGGACGGAAGUCUGACCGAGCAACGCCGCGUGAGUGAAGAAGGUUUUCGGAUCGUAAAGCUCUGUUGUAAGAGAAGAACGAGUGUGAGAGUGGAAAGUUCACACUGUGACGGUAUCUUACCAGAAAGGGACGGCUAACUACGUG